This 1242-nucleotide ribosomal RNA is filed under the name Liebermannia dichroplusae. Its description in RNAcentral is "bacterial SSU rRNA". It matches the Rfam family "Microsporidia small subunit ribosomal RNA". Lineage: Eukaryota; Fungi; Microsporidia. The record is from RNAcentral.
ACCAGGUUGAUUCUGCCUGACGCAGAUGCUAGCUUCGGAGAUUAAGCCAUGCAUGCGCGCGAAGAAGGGAGCGGCGAACGGCUCAGUAAUACUGCGAUGAUCUGCUCUUUGCGGAAGAUAACCACUGGACACGGUGGCUAAGGCGGAGAUUGAGACGCAGUCCUAUCAGCUUGGAUGGUAGUGUAAAGGACUACCAUGGCGACGACGGGUGACGGGAGAUGAGGGUCUUGUACCGGAGAGGGAGCCUGAGAGAUGGCUCCCACGUCCAUGGAUGGCAGCAGGCGCGAGAAUUGCCCACUCUCAGAUGAGGAGGCAGUAACGAAGCGUGGGCGGCGCGGGUGUAAAAAGCCUGCGGCCCGACUGGAGGGCAAGUUUGGUGCCAGCAGCCGCGGUAAUACCGACUCCAGGAGUGUCUGUGGUGGAUGCUGCAGUUAAAAGGUCCGUAGUCGAGCGGCAGUGACAGGGCGUGAGGUCAGAGACGCAGUUGCUGUCGAGAGUAGCGGAGCGGGCAGGGUGCGCGGAAUGGUUGGGCGAGCGAUGAAAUGCCAGGACCCCAGGCGGACGAACGGAGGCGAAGGCGGCGCACUGGGACGCAUCUGAGGAUCAAGGACGAAGGCUGGAGGAUCGAAGGCGAUUAGAGACCGCUGUAGUUCCAGCAGUAAACGAUGCCGACAACGCGGCGCGAGGCGUGGCGAGGGAGAAAUCGUAGUGUACGGGCUCUGGGGAUAGUAUGCUCGCAAGUGUGAAAAUUAAAGAAAUUGACGGAGCUACACCACAAGGAGUGGAUUGUGCGGCUUAAUUUGACUCAACGCGGGACAGCUUACCAGGGCCAAGCGGUGCAGAGAGCGGAGACGCGAGUGCCGUGGGAGUGGUGCAUGGUCGCUGGAAACCGGUGGGGCGACCCGAUGCUCAAGUGCAGGAACCGGUGAGACCCAUAGACAGGUACCGGAGCGGUACAGGAAGGACGGGCGAUAGCAGAUCAGUGAUGCCCUCAGAUGCCCUGGGCGGCACGCGCAAUACAAUUCCAGUGUGCAGAAAAGCGAAGUAUCUGGAGGGGACUGGGGCCUGGGAGGGCGCCACGAACGCGGAAUUCCUAGUAACGGCGGCUCAUGAGGCCGUGGUGAAUGUGUCCCUGUAGCUUGUACACACCGCCCGUCACUAUCUCAGAUGGUCGUUGCGAUGAGGGACGGGAGUCCCGAAUCGCUAGGACUAGAUAAGAUGUAAGUCGUAACAAGGUAACCA